Molecule: ribosomal RNA, 451 nt
Filed under: uncultured Anaerolineae bacterium
Lineage: Bacteria; Bacillati; Chloroflexota; Anaerolineae
Description: bacterial SSU rRNA
Rfam family: Bacterial small subunit ribosomal RNA
Source: RNAcentral
GAGUUUGAUCGUGGCUCAGGAUGAACGCUGGCGGCGUGCUUAAGACAUGCAAGUCGAGCGGGGCCUGAUAGCAAUAUUGGGUCCAGUGGCGAAUGGGUGCGUAACACGUAGGUAACCUGCCCGGAAGUGGGGAAUAACAGUCCGAAAGGACUGCUAAUACCCCAUACGAUUGCGGGAACGAGAGUUCCUGUUCUCAAAGGUCCGGUAACGGAUCGCUUCCGGAGGGGCCUGCGGCCCAUCAGCUAGUUGGUUGGGUAACGGCCAACCAAGGCAACGACGGGUAGGGGACCUCAGAGGGUGGCCCCCCACACUGGCACUGACACACGGGCCAGACUCCUACGGGAGGCAGCAGUCGGGAAUAUUGCCCAAUGCGCGAAAGCGUGAGGCAGCAACGCCGCGUGCGCGAUGAAGGCCUUCGGUCGGUAACCUACUUUCAGCACAGACGAAGACG